RNAcentral lists this ribosomal RNA (815 nucleotides) under uncultured bacterium. RNAcentral's name for it is "bacterial SSU rRNA". It matches the Rfam family "Bacterial small subunit ribosomal RNA", at positions 8 to 796 of the family's 1533-position model. The record is from RNAcentral.
AGAGUUUGAUCAUGGCUCAGAACGAACGCUGGCGGCGUGGAUAAGACAUGCAAGUCGAGCGCUGAUUUCACUGUAGCAAUACAGUGAAGUUGGAGCGGCGCAAGGGUGCGUAACACGUGGGUAAUUUGCCGUAGAGUUGGGGAUAACUCGCUGAAAGGCGAGCUAAUACCGAAUGUGGUUUUUGGAAGGCAUCUUCUGACAACUGAAGCUGGGGACCGCAAGGCCUGGCGCUCUAUGAUAAGCCCGCGGCCUAUCAGCUAGUUGGUGAGGUAACGGCUCACCAAGGCUAAGACGGGUAGCUGGUCUGAGAGGACGACCAGCCACACUGGAACUGAGACACGGUCCAGACACCUACGGGUGGCAGCAGUCGAGAAUUUUUCUCAAUGGGCGCAAGCCUGAAGGAGCGACGCCGCGUGGGGGAUGAAGGGUUUCGAUCCGUAAACCCCUGUCAUUUGUGAACAAUGGUUGCGAUUGAAUAUUUCGUAACUUGAUAGUAAUGAAAGAGGAAGGGACGGCUAACUCUGUGCCAGCAGCCGCGGUAAUACAGAGGUCCCGAGCGUUGUUCGGAUUCACUGGGCGUAAAGGGUGCGUAGGUGGCCUAAAAAGUUUGAUGUGAAAGCUCAGGGCUUAACCCUGAAAUGGCAUUGAAUACUGUUGGGCUGGAGGUUUGGAGGGGGGACUGGAAUUCUUGGUGUAGCAGUGAAAUGCGUAGAUAUCAAGAGGAACACCAGUGGCGAAGGCGAGUCCCUGGACAACACCUGACACUGAGGCACGAAAGCUAGGGGAGCAAACAGGAUUAGAUACCCUAGUAGUCC